This 588-nucleotide ribosomal RNA is filed under the name uncultured bacterium. RNAcentral's name for it is "bacterial SSU rRNA". It matches the Rfam family "Bacterial small subunit ribosomal RNA", at positions 102 to 677 of the family's 1533-position model. The record is from RNAcentral.
ACGGGUGAGUAACACGUAGGUAACCUGCCUUUAAGACUGGGAUAACUAUCGGAAACGAUAGCUAAGACCGGAUAACUGGUUUUCUCGCAUGAGAGAAUCAUAAAACACGGAGCAAUCUGUGGCUUAAAGAUGGGCCUGCGGCGCAUUAGCUAGUUGGUGAGGUAACGGCUCACCAAGGCGACGAUGCGUAGCCGACCUGAGAGGGUGAACGGCCACACUGGGACUGAGACACGGCCCAGACUCCUACGGGAGGCAGCAGUAGGGAAUCUUCCGCAAUGGACGCAAGUCUGACGGAGCAACGCCGCGUGAGUGAUGAAGGUUUUCGGAUCGUAAAGCUCUGUUGCCCUAGACGAACAGCAAGAGGAGUAACUGCCUUUUGUGUGACGGUAUAGGAGAAGAAAGCCCCGGCUAACUACGUGCCAGCAGCCGCGGUAAUACGUAGGGGGCAAGCGUUGUCCGGAAUUAUUGGGCGUAAAGCGCGCGCAGGCGGUCAUUUAAGUCUGGUGUUUAAUCCUGGGGCUCAACCCCAGUUCGCAUCGGAAACUGGAUGACUUGAGUGUAGGAGAGGAAAGUGGAAUUCCACGUGUA